UGAUAAAGUGGCUGAAAUAGUGAGAAAUUGUAAAUUUUUUUAUAAGGUUUAACCCUUCUUUAUU
RNAcentral lists this transfer RNA (64 nucleotides) under Pseudophacopteron aewagriini. Its description in RNAcentral is "tRNA-Tyr". The record is from RNAcentral. Lineage: Eukaryota; Metazoa; Arthropoda; Insecta; Hemiptera; Phacopteronidae.